CCCCAUUUAUCCAGCUAAGUAUUUCUACUCACGUUUAUACUUUACUCAAAUAAUAAAAAGAUGCAUAAUCAUGAAAACCUAAAUAAAAAUUCCAUGCUUAUAUUUUUGCUUAGUUUGCUAAAUAAAUAAAUAAAUAAAGUUUGAUAUGAACCCUCAUGAUAAGCUCUCACAUGGAAAUGAUAAAUAGUUGCUCUGCUAUGUACCUAGUUUUCAAGCUUGAGCUCUCUCUCAAGUUUAGGCAUAACUGUUAUAAUUUAAACCUGCUCUAAACCUGAACUUGUGGGAAGAGUACUUGAUCUGAAGUCUAAGUUGUUAACGGAUAUGAUAUGGGAAGGUUAAGCUGUUGUUUAUCUGUUCCUAGAGAUGCUAGAAUUCUGGAGAAUUUUAUCUUUGAAAAUCUUUAAAAUAACACAUGAUGAGUUCCUGUAUGAUGAGAGUUUAAAAUCCUGCCACAACCAUAUAUACAUGCUUAUUAGGCUAUGAACCAUACAUUUACUUUUUACUACUUAUGAGCAUUGAGUGUGGUCAAGCUGUGUAGACCCUUAGGAGCUUGUCAUGCGGGUAAAAUCAAGAUCCACUUGCACGUUCACUCACACAUGCUGCUUCUACUCCGGAAGUACGCAUCCACAUAUAUCCACUCAUUUCCAUCUCUAGAUUCACCCAAAAUUAUUCUACUCCUAAUCCGAGAGAGAAUAGCCAAAAACAUUUCCCUAUUUCUGUUUUUCCCUAUGAAAUAAAUGCUCAAGAUAUUUUGGUUACUACCACUUGCUACAUUAUUCCAGGAGGGUGAGUGCUCUGACAAAAAAGAGAAAAAAAGUUAAUACGAGGAAAUAAAAAGGGGCAAGUGCCCGAAACCUCGAAGAAAAGAAAAAGUGUGACGAGAGGUAAAAAUGGACAAGUGUCCGAUAGUAGAAUUAGGGGUACAAGAUACCCACCUGAGAGAAAAAGAAAAAGAAAAAUAUAGAGCAUCUCAUUCUCCUCAAAAAGCUUCAAAGUGCAAGAAAGGUAUGUAUCCCCUAAAAAAAGCAAAAGUAGAAUUAGACUUUCACCAUUGUUAUCACCAUCAUCAGCAUACAGCAUUCACUCGCCACAUAUGCAUAUCUUGAUUUGACUUAUUGACUUGUUCUUCUGGAUCCAUGGUUUGACUAUACAAUAAAUGUCUUGUAAGUAUGUAUUAUCUGUCUCCCACCUAUGGGCUCCAAAUAUCAAAACCUUAUUAGAGUAGGGUGAGAGAGAAGGCAAUAUCACUAUGCCUCAUACCAAAAAAUACCACACACUUUGAGAGAUGGCAUAUACCAUUACUGCCUUGGAAAGGAUCCAGAAAUACCACAAAAGAGAGAUUUGAGAGAGUCAUACAAGGAGUCUCUUAGUUUUAAUUGAAAAUCUGCAAAAACUCCAGAGCUAUAGCUGAUCAAGAAUAAGAGACAUGGCGCUUGACAUGACCGUUCUAUUUUUUAACUGCUCAAGACACAAGUGAUGUUUGCAAGCCCCAUGGUGAAAGGUAAAAUGAGUAAGUUUUAAGUCUUAACAGUUUACUCUAACUCAGAGAUGAGAUCUUGCUUGAAUGCAUGUGUACUUUUACGACAUGAAACCACUGCAGAAACUCUUGAGUCCAUCCUUGCUCAGGGACGAGCAAGACGUAAGCUUGGGGGAGUUGUUGACGGUCCUUAAGUACCAAAUAUAAUCAUCAAAUAAAAAAAAGAAAAGUAUCCAAAUGCAACCAACACCCAGACUUAGGGUUUUAUCUGACAGAAUUUCAUGAGUUUUUAUGUUUGUCUAUUUCUGUAGGGGGUUAUCAGGAAAUAUGGAAGAAAGGCCCACACGUCGGGUUUACAUAGAGAUAUUAACGUGCCGCGUAAUUUUCUACCAUCUGGAAGACUCUAGAAGCCAUGGGAAUGAACGGGAAGGUGAUCGGGUCCGGGGGCAGGGCGCCCGCCCUCCCCCUAGGGCGCCCGCCCUAAGGUAGAGUCCAAACAGGACCCGUCUCGCGGAUUACGCUCCACCGACCUAAAGGAUCAAGGAUAACCGUUCAAUCAAUGUUGGUUUUAUCCGACGGCCCACGUUCACCUGAGGGGACUAUAUAAGCAGACCCCCUGGCCCCUGGAGGAGAACAAGUUCAUCAUAGAGUUGCGAGGAGCCCUCGAAGGAUAACCUCUCCUCUAAAUAGACUUAGGGCUUAGCAUCCAAUGUGAGAGUAGAAUUAGUUCUUCUAAGUUCUACUAGAUUGAGAGAGAUAGAGUGGAGGUGUAGAUCGGAGGAAGCCCGGCCUGUCGGUGUCUACUCUGAGGUUGUACCUGCGGGAUCAAGUUCUCCUAACCCGAGGCUUGCUCCUAGGAUUCUUCAGUAAUUCGACUUCUAAAUUCUAGUAAGUUCUUGUUUUAUUGUUCUUUGGUUUAUGAGUUUACUUUAAUCUCUUCCGGUUGAGUUUAGAGUAAUCAUUGCUAGCGUAAACGUGGUGUUUGGGCUAGGGUACUCAUAGAUAUCCCCUGACUAGCUAGAUCGUGGUAGUAGCGAGGAACGUGACAUUUCCGAGUUACCUUUGCAGCCCACAUCUUGUUAGCAGGAUGGGUAGGGUUUAUAGGUGCGGGUCGAACAUUCUUUGUGGUGUCUAGAUUCCGUGAGCCUCCCCAAUAGAACAGUAGAUCAUCCUUACCAAGGUUUGAACGAGACUACGGUUGUAGUCUUCUCUAUACAUCGCUCACAUCGAGAAACAUUCUUUGUAGCCUAAAGGGUAGUAGCAAUAGAUUUGGUUAGUCAGAUGCACGCUUUCUCCUAGUGGUAAAAAUAUAAAUACGAUACUCUGGAUAACCUCCCGGGUGAAGUGCUCACCGAUAUCCGUGCACUUGCGGAUCAUUUCCUGAUGGCGUUAACAAAUAUCAACAUAUAGUAACUGAUGUCCCUGUCAAAAUAGACGAUCAUUUUGUCCAUACAGAUUUUCAGGUUAUUGACAUGGGAGAAGACGAGUACGAUCCACCCAUCAUCCUUGGGAGACCGUUCCUCAGCACCGUUAAAGCGAUCAUCUACAUUGGAACCGGAGAGGUCCAUAUGCACUUCCCCUCUGAGAAGGUACGCCGCUAUUUUACUGACCCUAAUUAUAUAGUUGAAAACUUUAAGCAGGUCAGGACAAGAAGAAGACGACGCAACCGCAACCAGAGGAGGCAAAUCAUCAACGACGGAUGGGCAGACUACGAAGGAGAAGUAGUAAGGUCUAAAAACAUACAGCUUGAACAGAACUAUCCUAAGGAGACCAUGGCACCGAGUCAGGUGUGGAGAGAGAAGAUAGUUAUACGCGAAGAGGAGGCGCCGCCGGAACCACCGACUACGCCAUCUAGCAAAUCCCAGGUCGAUUGAGAAAACAAAGAGUCCCGUUCGGAGGACUUAAAAACACCGAACGCCUUGCCAAGAGGUAAACUUGGUAGUUAUCCCUUUGCUUUCAAAUCAUUUACUUUUUCUUAAAAAUAGCUAGUUCAAGUUAAUCAGGUUCAUAUCAUCUUAAAAAGAAAAAUAAAAAUGUUAAAACCAGUAAAGCCCUAUGUGAGUAUACAAGUGGCAUAAAACCCAUAAGUACAUUCAGUGUGGUGGCAUAAAAAAAUAAUAAUAAAAAUAUUGUUCUGCUCUAUAAAAAUAUAAAACAUAAAAUUGUGAUCCUACUAAAUAAAGUAGCAUUUAUUGAGGAGGCUCAACAUGAUAAAGGCUAGAUAUUUAUGCUAACACUUAAUCAGUUCCAGAAAGCUUUGUUGUCUAUUUGAGCUCCACAGAAUUUAAGGAUCAAGAAGACUAGUAGACGGAGGACAUUCUAAUCGCUGUCAGAGUACUGCCGACAUUCAAAUACACCUCUGCCACCUGCUAGCUACAUCAGAAGAAAUUACAUCAAAAUUCAACUUGGGGGAGAGCACCCCCAGCUAUUCCGCUAAGUAUUUCUAUCUUCAUUUAUACUUAUACUAUAUUAAAAUAAAAAAUAUAUAACCAUGAAAAAACCAAAUAAAGAUUUUGUGCUUAUAUAUAUAUAUCGGUUGCUUAGUGUGCUUAAUAAAUAAAUGAAGUGGCUAUGCUAAACUGAAUCUUAAUAAAACUCUAGCAUGGAUACUAUGAAUAGUUGCUCUACCUAAUUUUCAAAUUUGGAGUUCUCUCUCUAGUUUAGACAUAAUUAUUAUAAUUUAAAGCUUGCUCUAAACCUGAACUUGUGGGAAGAGAACUUGAUCUAAAGUCUAAGUUGUUAACGGAUAUGAUAUGGGAGGGUUGAGCUGUUGUUUAUCUAUUCCUAGAGAUGCUAGAAUUUUGGAGAAUUUUAUCUUUUUAAAAUAUCACAUGAUGAGUUCCUGAAUGAUGAGAGUUUAAAUUCCUACCACAGCCAUAUAUACAUGCUUGCUAGACUUUGAGCCACACAUUUACUUUUUACUGCUUAUGAGCAUUGAGUGUGGUCAAGCUGUGUAGACCCUUAUGAGCUUGUCAUGCAGUUAAAAUCAAGAUUCACUUGCACGUUCACUCACACAUGCAGCUUCUACUCCGAAAGUACGCAUCCACAUAUAUCCACUCAUUUCCAUCUCCAGAACCACCCAAAAGUAUUCUACUCCUAAUCCGGGAGAGAAUAGCCAAAAACAUUCUCCUAUUUCUGUUUUUCCUGUGAAUUAAAUGCUCGAGUUAUCUUGGUUACUACCACUUGCUAUAUUAUUUCAGGAGAUGACUGCUCUAAAAAAAGAAAAAGGAUACGAGGAAAUAGAAAGGGGCAUGUGCUCGGAACCUCAAAAAAAGUGAGACGAGAGGUAAAAAUGGACAAGUUUCCGACAGUAGAAUUAGGGGUACAAGAUACCCACCUCAGAGGAAAGAAAAAGAAAAUAUAGAGCAUCUCAUUCUCCUCAAAAAGUUUCAAAAGAGCAAGAACGGUAUGUAUUCCCUCAAAAGAGCAAAAAGUAGAAUUAGACUUUCACCAUUGUUAUCACCAUCAUCACCAUACACCAUUCAUUCCCCACACAUGCACAUCUUGAUUUGACUUAUUAACCUCUUUCUCUGGAUCCAUGGCUUGACUAUGCAAUAAAUGUCUUGUAAGUAUGUAUACUUCAUCUCCCAC
RNAcentral lists this long non-coding RNA (5068 nucleotides) under Sorghum bicolor (sorghum). Its description in RNAcentral is "long non-coding RNA (SBIC_LNC013947)". Lineage: Eukaryota; Viridiplantae; Streptophyta; Magnoliopsida; Poales; Poaceae. The record is from RNAcentral.